This 78-nucleotide small RNA is filed under the name Flavobacterium aquicola. Its description in RNAcentral is "Flavo-1 RNA". It matches the Rfam family "Flavo-1 RNA". The record is from RNAcentral. Lineage: Bacteria; Pseudomonadati; Bacteroidota; Flavobacteriia; Flavobacteriales; Flavobacteriaceae.
CUCUAGCCCCGACAGCAGCGAAAAUCCUCUUGUCCUGGGGUUCAGGACAAGAGAUUGCAGCGAAUGGCGGGACUAUGU